CGCCACCAGGGAAAGGCAGUCACCUCUAGAACACCAGAAGAGAUCCAUUCUCCCAAAUCCCAGCAGCAUUAGCCGGAGCUGAAGGGCUGCUCAAGAGGCUGCUGUGUAAAUUCUGCAGCCAGUGUGGGGCGCCAGGCAGUAAUGGAACAGCAGCAGUUUUACUCCAUGUGUGGAUCCUUUAACUCGCUCUCCUCUGUGGGAUUUCGCACCAACUCUGCACAGCCUUGACUAGAGCUGCUGCACAUAACCUAACACAGGUCUUCAGUUCUUUUAUCCACUAGACCUGAUGAACAAACAGAAAGACAGUGAAAAGAGAAAACACACAACAGCAACGAGAAUUAAACCAAUUAUUCUGGUGCCCCAGUAGAGCUAUAAGCUUACUUGCAAGAGCUCAUUUUGGCGUCUGUCCAGCAGGUGCCAUGCGGGAAACCCAGAAGCAUUCAACCAGGAACAAUAGUAAGGAGUUUCCCAAAGGAUAUCACACUUUACCCACUACAUUAUUAUUAAGAAGAAGAAGCAAACCUUGUCGCCAAAAGAAACACAUGUAAAAUUAUUUUUAUAGGUUUUACCAUAGAGGUUUCCCAUUCCACACUGGCUAAAAGAUAUUUACGCAAGUUACAACAAGUUUAUCGUGAGAGUGCAUCAUAUACCACUACACAAAUAGCAUAUUAUAAGUAGCCUAAGGUCAGUCUAGCAUCUGUGCAAUAGAGAUGAUGGGAGGCCAAGCUCCUCCCCAGAGCUCAAACCGGCUGCUAGAUUGACAUACACAGCAGGCUCGACCAGCCUCCCUUGCCAGUGAAAACCAGAAGCAGAAUGGAAGAGAGCACAUGCGCCGCUGCCUCCUCCCCCAUGGCUCUCAGCUCUUACUGUAGGCCCCCAUAGUCAGGAUGCCCUCCACCUACCUGUAGACCUAAAAUGGCUGUCUUUUAUCAGUACUAAUAUUUGCACACGGUGACAUGUGCAUCAUAUUGCCAGAAUUCAGUGCAACCCAUUGGUUGCACUGUUCAAGACAUGAGUCUCAAGAGACAGGGACGGUGGCAUGAGGCUGGAGAAACCCAGUGAGGAUUUGAGGCUGGAUAAACACAGGAGAGGCAUAAGGCUGGAGAAACUCAGUGAAGAUUUGACAUUGGAGAAACACAGGACAGGCAUGAAGCUGGAGAGACCAAGUAAGGAUUUGAGGCUGGAAAAACACAGGUGAGGCAAUGGGCAGGAGAGAUACAGUGAGAAUUUGAAGCUGUAGAUACUCAUGGGUGGCAUGAGGAUUUGAGGCUGGAGAGACAUAGGGGAGGUAUGAGGCUGAAGAGACAGUGAGACUUUGAGGCUGGAGAAACACAGGGGAGGCAUGAGGCUGGAGAGACAGUGAUAAUUUGAGGCUGGAGAAACAGGGGCGGCAUGAGGCUGGAGAAACACAAAUCACAGCACUGUACAGCUUUGAAUGAGGCCGAGAGGGCACAGCUCACUACACCAUGACUAUCGCACCUUCCACCUUAACGUCAACUUUCAGCAUCACCAGCCAUCUUGAAUUUUUAAGCCAGUAACAAUGUAUGUAAUAUCAUUGUUUAGAAUACAGCAGAGACUAACAGUCUGUAUAUUAUGGCUUAGAUUGUUCCUUAUCAUGGAUUUAGAAUCUCACAAUACAUUUGUCAUUGCUUAUGUAAGAGUUUGUUUAUACCAUGUCCAUGCUGGUGUCAUCAUAGCACAGGCAACCUGAGUAUUCAGUGAUUAACACUUCUGUCUCAGAUUAUAACAGCUAUUUAUUUAUCCCUCAUUAACACUCAAGUUUUGAUAGAUUUGGUUAUAUUAUUACAGAUUUACUGCACGUGUCUAAACUCUUUAGUCACUCAUGUUACCCUCCCACACAUUUGGCACAUCCCACGUGAGUUUAGCUGCAAAAAGCCCAUAGACAUUCGCACUAAAGGCCUUAUCUCAAAAAAGCAUUACAUUUAUUCAUUUUCUACAUAAGCUAAAAACCCUUUCACUCAAUGUCAGAGGCUGUAACCACUCACCACAGCAUGACACUGGUCUGACAUACCUUGUGCUGACACCCCCCCUCAUACCUCCGAGAUAAAUGGCUCCCUCGUGUGUACUUCAUUUCUUCAUCAAUUAAAACCACAUCCUAAUGUCUAGGCACAAUUAGUCACUACUGCCCAUUACAAGCUCCGACACAUAUUACAGGUGUUUGGCUUGAAGUGAUUAUUAGGAGCAUGAUUAGUUUUGAUCUAUUCCUUCUACAUACAGUAUAUAAUACUAAAAUAUUCCUGACUUCCUCCACACUCUAUUAACUGACAUUAAUGCCUUUUCCCAGUGUGAUAUAUUAUUACUGUAGUGUUCGUCAAAGCUGAUACAUUUUCCUCCACCUAGAGCAGAGGUUCUCAA
Molecule: long non-coding RNA, 2376 nt
Organism: Pseudophryne corroboree (corroboree frog)
Lineage: Eukaryota; Metazoa; Chordata; Amphibia; Anura; Myobatrachidae
Exons: 3
Source: RefSeq, a predicted model, not a curated record